CAGAUACCCAAGAUGACAUAAUUUGUUUGCUCUAUUUCUGACCAAUAUAACUAAUUUACAAUGACGACUGCCUCAUGCCGAGUCACUGUAGUAACCCGAGUAACAAAUAAUAUUUCUCACAUCGCGGUAGAUGAAGUUACCAGUAUGUUUUUUUCAGGUUCUCUGAAGACAGUCCACCUCUCAUCCAUAGUUAUCGGACACUGGUCAUUCACUGUCCGACAACUACCAAAGUCUGAGUCCUCAAGAGCAGUGGGAAGAGUGUAUUGUUUUCAUCACAACAUCUAAUUACAAGUAGCUACCUCAUGACUCAUUCACCUGCCAGAAUUCAAGGACUACUUUUGGUGCAAUCACAUGGAGUGCUAGAACUCUGCCUGCCACCUACUUAUUUGUCGUGCUGCAUUUACUCCUUGUUCUGCAUUAUCUCCACAUUGUUUGAAUAAAAUCUUGAAAAUGA
Molecule: long non-coding RNA, 454 nt
Organism: Acanthopagrus latus (yellowfin seabream)
Lineage: Eukaryota; Metazoa; Chordata; Actinopteri; Spariformes; Sparidae
Exons: 3
Source: RefSeq, a predicted model, not a curated record